RNAcentral lists this ribosomal RNA (429 nucleotides) under Chloroflexota bacterium. Its description in RNAcentral is "Chloroflexi bacterium partial 16S ribosomal RNA". It matches the Rfam family "Bacterial small subunit ribosomal RNA", at positions 355 to 776 of the family's 1533-position model. Lineage: Bacteria; Bacillati; Chloroflexota. The record is from RNAcentral.
UGGGGAAUAUUGCACAAUGGGCGCAAGCCUGAUGCAGCCAUGCCGCGUGUGUGAAGAAGGCCUUCGGGUUGUAAAGCACUUUCAGCGGGGAGGAAGGCGUUAAGGUUAAUAACCUUGGCGAUUGACGUUACCCGCAGAAGAAGCACCGGCUAACUCCGUGCCAGCAGCCGCGGUAAUACGGCGGGUGCAAGCGUUAAUCGGAAUUACUGGGCGUAAAGCGCACGCAGGCGGUCUGUCAAGUCGGAUGUGAAAUCCCCGGGCUCAACCUGGGAACUGCAUUCGAAACUGGCAGGCUAGAGUCGUGUAGAGGGGGGUAGAAUUCCAGGUGUAGCGGUGAAAUGCGUAGAGAUCUGGAGGAAUACCGGUGGCGAAGGCGGCCCCCCGGACAAAGACUGACGCUCAGGUGCGAAAGGGUGGGGAGCAAACGGG